This 492-nucleotide ribosomal RNA is filed under the name uncultured bacterium. Its description in RNAcentral is "partial 16S ribosomal RNA". It matches the Rfam family "Bacterial small subunit ribosomal RNA", at positions 29 to 507 of the family's 1533-position model. The record is from RNAcentral.
AGUGAACGCUGGCGGUAGGCCUAACACAUGCAAGUCGAACGGCAGCACAGUAAGAGCUUGCUCUUACGGGUGGCGAGUGGCGGACGGGUGAGGAAUACAUCGGAAUCUACUUUUUCGUGGGGGAUAACGUAGGGAAACUUACGCUAAUACCGCAUACGACCUACGGGUGAAAGCAGGGGAUCUUCGGACCUUUCGCGAUUGAAUGAGCCGAUGUCGGAUUAGCUAGUUGGCGGGGUAAAGGCCCACCAAGGCGACGAUCCGUAGCUGGUCUGAGAGGAUGAUCAGCCACACUGGAACUGAGACACGGUCCAGACUCCUACGGGAGGCAGCAGGGGGGAAUAUUGGACAAUGGGCGCAAGCCUGAUCCAGCCAUACCGCGUGGGUGAAGAAGGCCUUCGGGUUGUAAAGCCCUUUUGUUGGGAAAGAAAAGCAGCAGGUUAAUACCCCGCUGUUCUGACGGUACCCAAAGAAUAAGCACCGGCUAACUUCGUG